RNAcentral lists this unclassified non-coding RNA (337 nucleotides) under fungal sp. RNAcentral describes it as "partial internal transcribed spacer region". The stretch from base 1 to 46 matches the Rfam family "Eukaryotic small subunit ribosomal RNA", at positions 1786 to 1831 of the family's 1831-position model. The record is from RNAcentral. Lineage: Eukaryota; Fungi.
AAGUCGUAACAAGGUUUCCGUAGGUGAACCUGCGGAAGGAUCAUUAACACGUAUCCAACGUUAAACCCCCCUGUGAACCUUCAUUGUGCUCCCCCAUUCCGUUAGGACGCGGCAAUCCCUGGUAAAUCAUCGCCGAACAGUUUUGAUUCAGGGACCUCUGCAUGGAGUGGGCUUGCAGCGCGAGGCAAGUGGCCUGGCAUUCCUCUGCUUGUUGGUGUCUGAAAGUGUCACUAGCUCUGUAAGAAUGGCGCAGUAACGAUCGCUAGAGGCCGACACGGCCGGCGACCGGGUCGCUGGGCUCACGCCCCCCUAUCACCCGAUGGAUAUCUUGGUUCUC